RNAcentral lists this long non-coding RNA (322 nucleotides) under Trifolium pratense (red clover). RNAcentral's name for it is "long non-coding RNA (TPRA_LNC013117)". The record is from RNAcentral. Lineage: Eukaryota; Viridiplantae; Streptophyta; Magnoliopsida; Fabales; Fabaceae.
UUUAUUUUUUGUUUCAUUAUGUAUUUAAUUUCCAUCCAAUUCAUGUUACAAAAUGGACUUUUUUUUACUUAUUAACAAAAACAAGAACAAGUUGUAUCUAGAUAUAAUAACAUGGCAAUCCGAGGUAGAGGAAGUGGACUUGGUCGAGGGAGAGGUCGUAAUCCACCUCAGCAUUCCCCAGGUAUAUAUGUCCCUUUAGUACAAUUCUAGUUACUGCAUCAGAUUUUUAAUACAAUUCUAGUUACUGCAUCAGAUCUUCCUUCACAUAUAGGUGUUCAGAAUAACCAGCACAAAAGGCAAAUGCUAUACAAGUCUUCUGAUU